This 329-nucleotide unclassified non-coding RNA is filed under the name soil metagenome. RNAcentral's name for it is "partial contains 5.8S ribosomal RNA, internal transcribed spacer 2, and large subunit ribosomal RNA". The stretch from base 1 to 120 matches the Rfam family "5.8S ribosomal RNA", at positions 35 to 154 of the family's 154-position model. The record is from RNAcentral.
GAUGAAGAACGUAGCGAAAUGCGAUAAGUAGUGUGAAUUGCAGAAUUCAGUGAAUCAUCGAAUCUUUGAACGCACAUUGCGCCCCUUGGUACUCCAUGGGGCAUGCCUGUUCGAGCGUCAUUUCAACCCUCAAGCUCUGCUUGGUCUUGGGCCGCGCCGGCGACGGCGGGCCUCAAAAACAGUGGCGGCGCCAUCUGGUUCCUCAGCGUAGUAAUUCUUCUCGCUGUUGGGCCCGGGUGGCCGCUGGCCAGCAACCCCAAAUUUUCUAUGGUUGACCUCGGAUCAGGUAGGGAUACCCGCUGAACUUAAGCAUAUCAAUAAGCGGAGGA